UACGGGGGGGGCAAGCGUUGUUCGGAAUUACUGGGCGUAAAGGGCUCGUAGGCGGCCAACUAAGUCGGAUGUGAAAUCCCCAGGCUUAACCUGGGAACUGCAUCCGAUACUGGAUGGCUUGAAUCCGGGAGAGGGAUGCAGAAUUCCAGGUGUAGCGGUGAAAUGCGUAGAUAUCUGGAGGAAUACCGGUGGCGAAGGCGGCCUCCUGGUUCAAUACUGACGCUGAGGUGCGAAAGCGUGGGGAGCAAACAGG
RNAcentral lists this ribosomal RNA (253 nucleotides) under uncultured bacterium. Its description in RNAcentral is "partial 16S ribosomal RNA". It matches the Rfam family "Bacterial small subunit ribosomal RNA", at positions 524 to 776 of the family's 1533-position model. The record is from RNAcentral.